This 291-nucleotide long non-coding RNA is filed under the name Vigna radiata. Its description in RNAcentral is "long non-coding RNA (VRAD_LNC015986)". Lineage: Eukaryota; Viridiplantae; Streptophyta; Magnoliopsida; Fabales; Fabaceae. The record is from RNAcentral.
ACUUGAUUUUUUUAUUUUAUUUUAUUUUCUUUAUUUUAUUUUUGUUUUAAUGUUAAUCGUGUUUUCUAGGUUUUUGUGCCUAAUGUUUGCAGGAUGCAAUUCAGACAAGAAUUUAACUAUUUGGGCACUCUAUUCUACCAAAGUAAUUUCAACCACUGCUGGAAACCUCACUGAUGGUUGUCGCGGCCCAUGCAAAAUUUUAUGAGCAUAAAAGAAUGCAGUAUAGUACUAGGAAGUGACUCCUAGGUCGUCUCUCAAGGACCAAAUGUGGUUCGGAGUCUUAGGUUUAAC